Molecule: ribosomal RNA, 218 nt
Filed under: uncultured bacterium
Lineage: Bacteria
Description: partial 16S ribosomal RNA
Rfam family: Bacterial small subunit ribosomal RNA
Source: RNAcentral
UAGUAUGGGGAUCUGCCCGAUAGAGGGGGAUAACUACUGGAAACGGUGGCUAAUACCGCAUAAUGUCUACGGACCAAAGCAGGGGCUCUUCGGACCUUGCACUAUCGGAUGAACCCAUAUGGGAUUAGCUAGUAGGUGGGGUAAAGGCUCACCUAGGCGACGAUCUCUAGCUGGUCUGAGAGGAUGAUCAGCCACACUGGGACUGAGACACGGCUCAG